GCCAUGCAUGUCUAAGUAUAAGUGUUAUACAGUGAAACUGCGAAUGGCUCAUUAAAACAGUUAUAGUUUAUUUGAUAAUCGAAUUUACAUGGAUAACCGUGGUAAUUCUAGAGCUAAUACAUGCUGGUUAGCCUGACUUUUAGGAAGGGCUGUAUUUAUUAGAUAACAAACCAAUAUUCUUCGUGUCUAUUGUGACGACUCAUAAUAACUGAUCGGAUCGCAUGGGCUUUGCCCGCGACAAAUCAUUCAAGUUUCUGCCCCAUCAGCUUUCGAUGGUAGUGUAUUGGACUACCAUGGCUUUAACGGGUUACGGAGGAUUAGGGUUCGAUUCCGGAGAGGGAGCCUGAGAAACGGCUACCACAUCUAAGGAAGGCAGCAGGCGCGUAAAUUACCCAAUCGCGACUCGCGGAGGUAGUGACAAGAAAUAACAGACCGAAGCUAACGUUUCGGGAUUGCAAUGAGUAGAAUUUAAACCCCUUUACGAGGAUCAAUUGGAGGGCAAGUCUGGUGCCAGCAGCCGCGGUAAUUCCAGCUCCAAUAGCGUAUAUUAAAGUUGUUGCAGUUAAAAAGCUCGUAGUCGAAUUUCGGACAAGGCAUUUUUGCCAACCUUUUGAGUUUGGCUUUAAUGGCAAGUCUUUUUUUCUAGAUUUCCUGUUAGCCUUCGCGGGUGUGCAGGAGUACCUAGGACUAUUACUUUGAAGAAAUUAGAGUGUUUAAGGCAGGCUUGUGCUUGAAUACAUUAGCAUGGAAUAAUAAAAUAGGACUUUGGUUUUAUUUUGUUGGUUUUAAAAACUAGAGUAAUGAUUAAUAGGGAUAGUCGGGGGCGUUAGUAUUUAGUAGUCAGAGGUGAAAUUCUUGGAUUUACUAAAGACUAACUAGUGCGAAAGCAUUCGCCAAGGAUGUUUUCAUUGAUCAAGAACGAAAGUUAGGGGAUCGAAGACGAUCAGAUACCGUCGUAGUCUUAACCAUAAACUAUGCUGACUAGGGAUCGGUGGAUGUCUUAAUGACGCAUCGGCACCUUAUGAGAAAUCAAAGUUUUUAGGUUCUGGGGGGAGUAUGGUCGCAAGGCUGAAACUUAAAGGAAUUGACGGAAGGGCACCACCAGGAGUGGAGCCUGCGGCUUAAUUUGACUCAACACGGGAAAACUCACCAGGUCCGGACAUAGUAAGGAUUGACAGAUUGAGAGCUCUUUCUUGAUUCUGUGGGUGGUGGUGCAUGGCCGUUCUUAGUUGGUGGAGUGAUUUGUCUGGUUAAUUCCGAUAACGAACGAGACCUUAGCCUACUAACUAGUCGACUCAAUCUCGAUUGAUUCCGACUUCUUAGAGGGACUUUGUGGUUUAAACACAAGGAAGUUUGAGGCAAUAACAGGUCUGUGAUGCCCUUAGAUGUCCUGGGCCGCACGCGUGCUACACUGACGCAUACAGCGAGUACUUCCCAGCUCCGAGAGGCAGCUGGUAAUCAGCAAUAUGCGUCGUGAUUGGGAUAGGGGAUUGUAAUUAUUCCCCUUGAACGAGGAAUUCCCAGUAAGCGCGAGUCAUAAGCUCGCGUUGAUUACGUCCCUGCCCUUUGUACACACCGCCCGUCGCUACUACCGAUUGAAUGUUUUAGUGAGGUCUUCAGACUGGCCGGCGCAGCUGCUCUCGUAGUGGCAGCGCUGUGUUUGGGAAGAUGCCCAAACUUGAACAU
RNAcentral lists this ribosomal RNA (1686 nucleotides) under uncultured eukaryote. RNAcentral's name for it is "SSU rRNA". It matches the Rfam family "Eukaryotic small subunit ribosomal RNA". The record is from RNAcentral.